UACAGAGGUCUCAAGCGUUGUUCGGAUUCAUUGGGCGUAAAGGGUGCGUAGGCGGCGCGGUAAGUCGGGUGUGAAAUCUCGGAGCUUAACUCCGAAACUGCAUUCGAUACUGCCGUGCUUGAGGACUGGAGAGGAGACUGGAAUUUACGGUGUAGCGGUGAAAUGCGUAGAUAUCGUAAGGAAGACCAGUGGCGAAGGCGGGUCUCUGGGCCGGAACUGACGCUGAGGAGCGAAAGCGUGGGGAGCAAACAGG
This 253-nucleotide ribosomal RNA is filed under the name uncultured bacterium. Its description in RNAcentral is "partial 16S ribosomal RNA". It matches the Rfam family "Bacterial small subunit ribosomal RNA", at positions 524 to 776 of the family's 1533-position model. The record is from RNAcentral.